Molecule: RNA transcript, 793 nt
Organism: Amblyraja radiata (thorny skate)
Lineage: Eukaryota; Metazoa; Chordata; Chondrichthyes; Rajiformes; Rajidae
Gene: lgals2b
Gene name: lectin, galactoside-binding, soluble, 2b
Exons: 5
Source: RefSeq, a predicted model, not a curated record
UGAAAUCAGCUGGGUCACUGAUCAAUGAUUAACAGCUGGGGCUGGGCUGGGGGGGAACUGGGUGUCUGGUAUUUAUACGCUGCUGGCCGUGGAGAAAUGCAAUUUCCGUUACAGCAUUCAACGCAACAGUAGCAGCGGAACAGCGGACGAUGGCGCUUGAAAUCCACAACGUUGAAAUGAAGGUGGGAGAUACCUUGAAGAUUAAAGGGAAGGUUUCAGAUGAAGCUGACAGGUUUACGGUGAAUCUGGGCAGCGCCGCUGACCACAUCGGCCUGCACUUCCAGCCCCGCUUCCACGACAGUGUGGAUGGAGCGGUCAUCGUCUGUAACUCCAAGUGUGCAAGCGGCUGGGACAGUGAGCAGCGAGAACAUGACUUCCCCUUCAGCAAGGGAGACAAGUUCAAAAUGAGCAUAACAUUCAAGGGCGAUGUCUUUGCGAUUAAGCUCCCCAAUGAUGCCGUGAUCGAGUUCCCCAACCGCUUGUCCCUGGAGACGGUCACCUUUGUCUCGGUGGCCGGAGACUUCAAGUUGGUCUCGUUCGGCUGCAGAUGAGAGGCUUUGAGAUGAAGGGUCAAACGCAGGCACUGAAGAGAAAAUGGCCCCGUCUGCUCGAGGCAGAUGCUACAAUAGUUGAAUUGGCUCUGGGAUUCUUGAUUUGAGUCCAGCCCUUCUAAGUAACCCUUCAGAUGAGAAUGCACAAAAUUUAAUUUGAUCACUUGUGGUCAGAAAGAUCUCUGAUCAGUUGUAAUUGUUCACUUUACCUGCCCAAGAAUAAAAAGUGUGGUCUAAUGGUU